GCGUUCUGUAAGCCUGUGAAGGUGGCCUGUGAGGGUUGCUGGAGGUAUCAGAAGUGCGAAUGCUGACAUAAGUAACGAUAAAGCGGGUGAAAAGCCCGCUCGCCGGAAGACCAAGGGUUCCUGUCCAACGUUAAUCGGGGCAGGGUGAGUCGACCCCUAAGGCGAGGCCGAAAGGCGUAGUCGAUGGGAAACGGGUUAAUAUUCCCGUACUUGGUGUUACUGCGAAGGGGGGACGGAGAAGGCUAUGUUGGCCGGGCGACGGUUGUCCCGGUUUAAGCGUGUAGGUGUGUGUUCCAGGUAAAUCCGGUUCACUUUAACACUGAGGCGUGACGACGAGGCACUACGGUGCUGAAGCAACAAAUGCCCUGCUUCCAGGAAAAGCCUCUAAGCAUCAGGUAACAUCAAAUCGUACCCCAAACCGACACAGGUGGUCAGGUAGAGAAUACCAAGGCGCUUGAGAGAACUCGGGUGAAGGAACUAGGCAAAAUGGUGCCGUAACUUCGGGAGAAGGCACGCUGACACGUAGGUGAAGUGAUUUACUCAUGGAGCUGAAGUCAGUCGAAGAUACCAGCUGGCUGCAACUGUUUAUUAAAAACACAGCACUGUGCAAACACGAAAGUGGACGUAUACGGUGUGACGCCUGCCCGGUGCCGGAAGGUUAAUUGAUGGGGUCAGCGCAAGCGAAGCUCCUGAUCGAAGCCCCGGUAAACGGCGGCCGUAACUAUAACGGUCCUAAGGUAGCGAAAUUCCUUGUCGGGUAAGUUCCGACCUGCACGAAUGGCGUAAUGAUGGCCAGGCUGUCUCCACCCGAGACUCAGUGAAAUUGAACUCGCUGUGAAGAUGCAGUGUACCCGCGGCAAGACGGAAAGACCCCGUGAACCUUUACUAUAGCUUGACACUGAACAUUGAGCCUUGAUGUGUAGGAUAGGUGGGAGGCUUUGAAGCGUGGACGCCAGUCUGCGUGGAGCCGACCUUGAAAUACCACCCUUUAAUGUUUGAUGUUCUAACGUGGACCCGUUACCCGGGUUGCGGACAGUGUCUGGUGGGUAGUUUGACUGGGGCGGUCUCCUCCUAAAGAGUAACGGAGGAGCACGAAGGUUGGCUAAUCCUGGUCGGACAUCAGGAGGUUAGUGCAAUGGCAUAAGCCAGCUUGACUGCGAGCGUGACGGCGCGAGCAGGUGCGAAAGCAGGUCAUAGUGAUCCGGUGGUUCUGAAUGGAAGGGCCAUCGCUCAACGGAUAAAAGGUACUCCGGGGAUAACAGGCUGAUACCGCCCAAGAGUUCAUAUCGACGGCGGUGUUUGGCACCUCGAUGUCGGCUCAUCACAUCCUGGGGCUGAAGUAGGUCCCAAGGGUAUGGCUGUUCGCCAUUUAAAGUGGUACGCGAGCUGGGUUUAGAACGUCGUGAGACAGUUCGGUCCCUAUCUGCCGUGGGCGCUGGAGAACUGAGGGGGGCUGCUCCUAGUACGAGAGGACCGGAGUGGACGCAUCACUGGUGUUCGGGUUGUCAUGCCAAUGGCACUGCCCGGUAGCUAAAUGCGGAAGAGAUAAGUGCUGAAAGCAUCUAAGCACGAAACUUGCCCCGAGAUGAGUUCUCCCUGAGACUUAGAGUCUCCUGAAGGAACGUUGAAGACGACGACGUUGAUAGGCCGGGUGUGUAAGCGCAGCGAUGCGUUGAGCUAACCGGUACUAAUGAACCGUGAGGCUUAACCUUACAACGCCGAAGCUGUU
This 1729-nucleotide ribosomal RNA is filed under the name Salmonella enterica subsp. enterica serovar Oslo. Its description in RNAcentral is "partial 23S ribosomal RNA". It matches the Rfam family "Bacterial large subunit ribosomal RNA", at positions 1236 to 2925 of the family's 2925-position model. Lineage: Bacteria; Pseudomonadati; Pseudomonadota; Gammaproteobacteria; Enterobacterales; Enterobacteriaceae. The record is from RNAcentral.